Molecule: transfer RNA, 72 nt
Filed under: Pangasianodon gigas (Mekong giant catfish)
Lineage: Eukaryota; Metazoa; Chordata; Actinopteri; Siluriformes; Pangasiidae
Description: tRNA-Glu
Rfam family: tRNA
About the family: Transfer RNA (tRNA) molecules are approximately 80 nucleotides in length. Their secondary structure includes four short double-helical elements and three loops (D, anti-codon, and T loops).
Source: RNAcentral
UCCCUUGAGGACUAGUGGUUAGGCCACAGUGCUCUCACUGCUGCGGCCCAGGUUCGAUUCCUGGCCAGGGAA